GAUGAACGCUGGCGGCGUGCCUAACACAUGCAAGUCGAACGAUGAAACCGCCUCCGGGCGGACAUGAAGUGGCGAACGGGUGAGUAACACGUGACCGACCUGCCCCCCGCCCAGGGCCAGCCCCCCGAAAGGGGGACUAAUACCCGGUACUCCGGAAGCGGCGCAUGCCGCCCCCGGGAAAGCCCUGGCGGCGGGGGAUGGGGUCGCGGCCCAUCAGGUAGACGGCGGGGCAGAGGCCCACCGUGCCGACGACGGGUGGCCGGGUUGAGAGACCGACCGGCCACAUUGGGACUGAGAUACGGCCCAGACUCCUACGGGAGGCAGCAGUGGGGAAUUUUGCGCAAUGGGGGCAACCCUGACGCAGCAACGCCGCGUGCGGGACGAAGGCGUCCGCGUCGUAAACCGCUUUCAGCGGGGAACACUUUUCGAGGGUACCCGCAGAAGAAGCCCCGGCUAAAUACGUGCCAGCCGCCGCAGUAA
RNAcentral lists this ribosomal RNA (480 nucleotides) under uncultured bacterium. RNAcentral describes it as "partial 16S ribosomal RNA". It matches the Rfam family "Bacterial small subunit ribosomal RNA", at positions 28 to 523 of the family's 1533-position model. The record is from RNAcentral.